RNAcentral lists this unclassified non-coding RNA (376 nucleotides) under uncultured bacterium. Its description in RNAcentral is "contains 16S-23S intergenic spacer region". The record is from RNAcentral.
UCCGACUUGACGUCGGCAGUCUCGUUAGAGUGCCCAACUUAAUGCUGGCAACUAACGACAGAGGUUGCGCUCGUUGCGGGACUUAACCCAACAUCUCACGACACGAGCUGACGACAGCCAUGCAGCACCUUCUCACUCGUUUCCCGAAGGACACCCCGACAUCUCUGCCAGGUCCGCCGUUGUCUAGCCCAGGUAAGGUUCUUCGCGUUGCGUCGAAUUGAACCACAUGCUCCACCGCUUGUGCGGGCCUCCGUCAAUUCCUUUGAGUUUUAAUCUUGCGAUCGUACUCCCCAGGCGGAAUGCUUAAUGCGUUAGCUGCGCCACCGAAGAGCAAGCUCCCCAACGGCUGGCAUUCAUCGUUUACGGCGUGGACUAC